GCUAAGGUCCUCUGAGUGUUUUUUAGCACAUUGCUAUGCAGUUGCUGAGGUGUUCCAAUUGUGUCUUAGCAUGUUGCUAUGCGGUUGCUGAGGUCUUCUGAGUGGGUUUUUAGCACACUGCUAUGCGGUUGCUGAGGUGUUCUAAUUGUGUCUUAGCAUGUUGCUAAGCAGUUGCUGAGGUGUUCUGAUUGGUUCUUAGCACACUGCUAUGAAGUUGCUGAUGUGUUCUGAUUGGUUCUUAGCACACUGCUAUGCCAUUGCUGAGGUGUUCUGAUUGGUUCUUAGCACGUUGCUAUGCGGUUGCUAAGGUCUUCUGAGUGUUUUUUAGCACAUUGCUAUGCGGUUGCUGAGGUGUUCCAAUUGUGUCUUAGCAUGUUGCUAUGCGGUUGCUGAGGUCUUCUGAGUGGGUUUUUAGCACACUGCUAUGCGGUUGCUGAGGUGUUCUAAUUGUGUCUUAGCAUGUUGCUAAGCAGUUGCUGAGGUGUUCUGAUUGGUUCUUAGCACACUGCUAUGAAGUUGCUGAGGUGUUCUGAUUGGUUCUUAACACGUUGCUAUGCGGUUGCUAAGGUCCUCUGAGUGUUUUUUAGCACAUUGCUAUGCAGUUGCUGAGGUGUUCCAAUUGUGUCUUAGCAUGUUGCUAUGCGGUUGCUGAGGUCUUCUGAGUGGGUUUUUAGCACACUGCUAUGCGGUUGCUGAGGUGUUCUAAUUGUGUCUUAGCAUGUUGCUAAGCAGUUGCUGAGGUGUUCUGAUUGGUUCUUAGCACACUGCUAUGAAGUUGCUGAUGUGUUCUGAUUGGUUCUUAGCACACUGCUAUGCCAUUGCUGAGGUGUUCUGAUUGAUUCUUAGCAUGUUGCUAUGCGGUUGCUAAGGUCUCCUGAGUGUUUUUUUAGCACAUUGCUAUGCAGUUGCUGAGGUGUUCUGAUUGGUUCUUAGCACACUGCUAUGGAGUUGCUGAUGUGUUCUGAUUGGUUCUUAGCACACUGCUAUGCCAUUGCUGAGGUGUUCUGAUUGGUUCUUAGCACGUUGCUAUGCGGUUGCUAAGGUCUUCUGAGUGUUUUUUAGCACAUUGCUAUGCGGUUGCUGAGGUGUUCCAAUUGUGUCUUAGCAUGUUGCUAUGCGGUUGCUGAGGUCUUCUGAGUGGGUUUUUAGCACACUGCUAUGCGGUUGCUGAGGUGUUCUAAUUGUGUCUUAGCAUGUUGCUAAGCAGUUGCUGAGGUGUUCUGAUUGGUUCUUAGCACACUGCUAUGAAGUUGCUGAUGUGUUCUGAUUGGUUCUUAGCACACUGCUAUGCCAUUGCUGAGG
This is a long non-coding RNA of Myxocyprinus asiaticus (Chinese sucker), 1302 nucleotides long. RefSeq lists it as uncharacterized. Lineage: Eukaryota; Metazoa; Chordata; Actinopteri; Cypriniformes; Catostomidae. The record is from RefSeq and is a predicted model, not a curated record. The transcript is spliced from 3 exons.